RNAcentral lists this long non-coding RNA (1106 nucleotides) under Malus domestica (apple). Its description in RNAcentral is "long non-coding RNA (MDOM_LNC005013)". The record is from RNAcentral. Lineage: Eukaryota; Viridiplantae; Streptophyta; Magnoliopsida; Rosales; Rosaceae.
AAAAAAACCUAAAAACUGAAAAGGUAAAUUUAAAUUGAGAUUUACCCAAAGUUAUUCAAACCUUGAACUUUGGAGCCUAACAAAAUCGUCUUGACCCUAUAACAAAAAGGAGAGAGAAAUAAUAAGAAAAAUGAAAUAAAAAGCACAAAGAUUUCACAGAAGAUGGAUAUGAAUGGUUGGCAAAAGCCUUUUGAGUCAAGAAUCUCACCAAAUUAAUUCAAAUAGCAUCGCAUGUGAAGAAGGCAGGGCAAAAAAAUGGGAAGUAUAAGAUUCGGCCACAUAACUAGAGGAGAUGGGGAGUACAUAUAAUAAUAUUGUAGCCACAACGGAAAAAAUGGGAAUAUACGUGGGAACUGGGAAGUUACUGCUUGGUAGUGGGAGAACUUCACCGUUUUUUUUUAACUGACGACAACCUCUACUCAUUUUCUCCCACGUUGGUUCUUAAUUUUUUUUCUUUAAUAUAAUUUUGUUAGAUAUUAAUAUCUCCUCCUAAAAUGGAGGAGAUACGUUCAUGUUCUUUUCUUCUUCUUUUUUCUUUUUUUCCAGUAAAACAAAUUUUAAUUCUCUGUUUAAUAUAUCUCUCCUAAAAUGGAGAGCAAUAACGUUGUUUUUGUUUAAUAUAAAUUUCUUAGAUAUUUUUUUAAUAUAAUUUUGUUAGAUUAAUAUUCCAUUUCUGUUGUCUUAUUUCUUUCUUUUUAUUUCUUUUUUCAAUAUAACGAAUUUUAAUUUUUCUGUUUAAUAUCUCUCUCUCCUAAAAUGGAGAGCAGUUAUUCACCAUGUCGUUUUUUUACUUUAUUUUUUAAUAUUUCUCUCAUAAAAUGAUGUCUCUCUUUCCUCUCCAUAACUGUUAAUUUUUAGAGGAUAAUUGUCAUGUUUUUUUUUUAAUUUUAAUUUUAAUGACCAUGUUUUGGGGCUCUCCUUCCAUAUAUAUAUAUAUAUAUAUCGAUAUAGAUGACGAAAUCGAAAAUGGAGGCGGAUAAUUGUCAUGAAAUUUUUUUUUUUAAUUUUUAGAGGAUAAUUGUCAUGGAAUUUUUUUAUAUUUUAAUUAUUAGUAUUUCCAGUUUCCACGUUUGAGGGGUUCAGCACGUUCCCUUAUGUUUUGUUUU